CCUACGGGUGGCUGCAGUCGAGAAUCAUUCACAAUGGGGGAAACCCUGAUGGUGCGACGCCGCGUGGGGGAAUGAAGGUCUUCGGAUUGUAAACCCCUGUCAUGUGGGAGCAAAUUAAAAAGAUAGUACCACAAGAGGAAGAGACGGCUAACUAUGUGCCAGCAGCCGCGGUAAUACAGAGGUCUCAAGCGUUGUUCGUAAUCCCUGGGCGUAAAGCGUGCGUAGGCUGUUUCGUAAGUCGUGUGUGAAAGGCGCGGGCUCAACCCACGGACGGAACAUGAUACUGCGGGACUAGGGUAAGUGAGGGGGAACCGAAAUGCUCGGUGUAGCAGUGAAA
This 337-nucleotide ribosomal RNA is filed under the name uncultured bacterium. RNAcentral describes it as "partial 16S ribosomal RNA". It matches the Rfam family "Bacterial small subunit ribosomal RNA", at positions 338 to 686 of the family's 1533-position model. The record is from RNAcentral.